This is a non-coding RNA of Myotis brandtii (Brandt's bat), 117 nucleotides long. NCBI's taxonomy places the organism in Eukaryota, Metazoa, Chordata, Mammalia, Chiroptera, Vespertilionidae. The record is from Rfam.
CAUGCAGCAGUGGGGUCCCUCAGCCUGGCCUGCGGGAUGAGGCCCAAACCAGCUCUCUGACAUCCCUUGAGGGGUUCCAGGGGCGCAGGCUAGGCUGAGGGACCCCACCGGUGUGCA